Molecule: ribosomal RNA, 543 nt
Filed under: uncultured bacterium
Lineage: Bacteria
Description: bacterial SSU rRNA
Rfam family: Bacterial small subunit ribosomal RNA
Source: RNAcentral
UGGGGAAUAUUGGACAAUGGGCGCAAGCCUGAUCCAGCCAUACCGCGUGGGUGAAGAAGGCCUUCGGGUUGUAAAGCCCUUUUGUUGGGAAAGGAAAUCCAGCUGGCUAAUACCCGGUUGGGAUGACGGUACCCAAAGAAUAAGCACCGGCUAACUUCGUGCCAGCAGCCGCGGUAAUACGAAGGGUGCAAGCGUUACUCGGAAUUACUGGGCGUAAAGCGUGCGUAGGUGGUCGUUUAAGUCCGUUGUGAAAGCCCUGGGCUCAACCUGGGAACUGCAGUGGAUACUGGGCGACUAGAGUGUGGUAGAGGGUAGCGGAAUUCCUGGUGUAGCAGUGAAAUGCGUAGAGAUCAGGAGGAACAUCCAUGGCGAAGGCAGCUACCUGGACCAACACUGACACUGAGGCACGAAAGCGUGGGGAGCAAACAGGAUUAGAUACCCUGGUAGUCCACGCCCUAAACGAUGCGAACUGGAUGUUGGGUGCAAUUUGGCACGCAGUAUCGAAGCUAACGCGUUAAGUUCGCCGCCUGGGAGUACGGUCGC